CUGAAAAACACCAAUGCAAAUAAAGUAAAUAAAUUAUUUUUAAAACGAAAUAAAAUUACUUUCCAAAUAGAAAACUAGAAUAAUUUAUUUGAAUUGACUAUGUAAAACUUUUCCCAAAAGUAUUCAAAGAUUAAUCAAAUAAGAGGGGAACAGAAUGAAAUUAUUCACAACACAUAUUCAAAAGGAUUAAAAUUUUAAUGUACAAAAAAUUUAAAAUCAAUAAAAUGGAUGCUGUAAUUACAAAAUCAAAUUUGAUGAAAAUCAAAAUGAUUAUAUGUGAGAACUAGAAAUGUGUAUCCUUUAAGAGCUGGAGAAAGUGAAAAAAAGGUAAUCCAGACAUAGUGAUGCAUACAUUUAAUCCCAUCACUUCGGAGAUAGGGAUAGGAUCUCUGUGAGUUCUAGGCCAGGCUGGUCUACAUAAGGAGUUCCAGGACUACACAGACAGACUCUCUCUCAAAAUGAAUAAAUGAAAAUUAAUGAGUUUGUGAGUAAAUAAGUACUAAAGAAAUGGUAAUACCAAUAAAAUAGUCCAUGCAAUUAGUCACAACUUUUGUCAGUAAUUAAGCAUGUUUCUAUUGACAAAAUUGAUUUAAUAAAGGACACAGUUGCUGAGGAAAUUGCAAACUGGAAAACAAUUUAGAUAGUUAGGUGAUACAUAACAUCUUAAGAUUAUUUAUGCCUCUUGACACUAUAGUUAUACCUCAAGAAUUUAUGCUAAGAAAAUAAUAAGUGUCAGACCCAAAAUAAUUUGCAUAAAAGUAUAACCAUCAUCUUACAAAGUUGAAGACUCCAACAAUAAGUUCUAAAUUGAAAACACACAGCUGAGCUAGCAUUUUGACUCCAUCACUCCAUAAUUGUCUCUCCCUCUCACAGAGACCCAAAAGACAAAAGAACAAGCUCAGAUCCCAGCAUUCUGUCUGGAGCCUGGCCCUGGAAGCCUAGCACUGGCCCAGCAGAGAUACAAAGAUCACUGGAGCUCAUUGGCCAGUCUAGCUGAUAUUCGAUAUCCAGGGAAAUCCCAGUUCAAAAAUUAUGUGUGUUGUAGGUGGUGGCACACACCUUUAAUCCCAACACUAUGGAGGUAGAGGCAAGCAUUCUCUGUGAAUUUGAGGCUAGCCUGGUCUACUUAGUGAACUUCGGGAGAGCCAGAAUUACAUACAGAGGCCCUGUCUCAAUAAUAAUAAUUACAGUGGGGGACAACAGGGAAAGAUACUGUAAACACACACAUACAUACACACACACACAAUUUUAGAAAACAAUAUUUCAGAAAAUGUAAUCUCUCUCGCUCUCUCACUCUCUCUCUCUCCUUUUCCCUUCCUCCCUCCUCCUCUUUCUCUGACUCUUUCUCUCUGUGUGUCUUUCUCUAUGAAGGAGGAGAAUUACUACAGGUUUGAGAUCAGUUUGGGCUACCUAGUAAGUGGCAGACAAGCCUGAGCUGCAGAGGCUGUGUCUCACAACAUCUCCCCCACAUUAGAAAUGUGCUCUCAUAUCUUUUUUUCCCAGAUCUCUGUGUUCCAAUCAUUCUAUAGCAUUACUUUAAUAAGCAGAAACAAUAAACAUUAUAAAAAUAGAAAUGCACAUAUUUUCAAAAGAUCUGACAGUCAUGGAACAGAAUCUCACUGCUGAGAAAUGCAUAUGGAUUUGUAUUUGUGAGGUGGGAGGUGCGGCAAUGAGAUGGAUUCAAAGCAUGCGCGCGUGCAUGCGUGCGUACAUGCGCGCGCGCGUGUGUGUGUGUGUGUGUGUGUGUGUGUGUGUGUGUGUGUACGGGCGUGUGCAUGCACAGUCUGCUUGUAGGUCUCUUUCUUUGAGAUGGAGAUUGUUUACCGGGGCUCUGCAGCUUUUGCUAGCAUUUCAGACUCUCCUGACUGACCUCCUUGCAUCUUUUCUGAGACCCUAAUUCUGAAGUUCCUAGCGUUUUUAACUUACUUCACUAUGGUUAAUGUUGCUUCACUGUCUAGAUGUAGGCUUCAAAAGCCAGUCCCUUGAGUCCCUAGGGUAAAUGCAGUUAAGAAGAUCAAAUCAAUUUCUUCAUCAAAUUAAACAAAUACAUUCCAAAUUUCACUGUGGUAGAACUCUGAAUCAAGGUGGCUUUCCAUUUUUUGAGAAUAUUCCUUUCCCUGAUUUUUCUCUGAGCAUUUGCACUGUGAAGACAUUGUCAUAGAUAAGAAAUCAAAUUAAUUUUCUAAGGCCUAAUGUGGCCCCAAUUCUAGCCAUAUCUAAAAUGCAGGCACUUCCUUUUUAUUAACCUACUUUUUUUUUUUGAAUGAAACUCUAGAGAGCAGCUACUGAGGUUAAUUACACAUAGUGGAGAACUAGCCGUGUGACCUUAUGCAAGUAACUUCAGAUUUCAGAGUCUCUGUUCUUCUCCUCUAGUGGGGAGCCACAGCUGCAUGUUGGAGACCUGUCAGUACUGACUGAAUUCCUACAUUUGACCUGAGAGUAAAAACUCAAUAUUUCCAGGAACUCACAAAAAACCUUUUGGACCCAGUAGGAUGAAGGCUUGUGGAAAUGGCCACAGGACACGUCUGGGUAGCCUGGCAAAGUCCAAAUCAUGUGGGUCUCACCAGUCACGAGAAGGGAAGGGAUAAGAUGGAUUAGCACCAGGAAGAGCAGUUGACUCAGGAGAACCCUGCAAAACCACGUUUGAAAGUUUCAGAACUGAACUGAAGUUGCCUUGAAGACAAAGCUUUGCCAUUACGACGAGGAGAUUGCUCCUGGCUCUUCCUGCUGAAGACAAGACAAGAAUCUGAAAGAGUGAGGGAUGUCUCUGUUCAUCCUUUACAUUUUUAUUUUUUUAUAGAACUAAUCAUAAAGGAUAGCAUUCUGGCAGAUUUAUCAAAUUUUGGUCACUGCUAAUAACAUCAUCUUGUCUGUG
Molecule: long non-coding RNA, 2875 nt
Organism: Mesocricetus auratus (golden hamster)
Lineage: Eukaryota; Metazoa; Chordata; Mammalia; Rodentia; Cricetidae
Exons: 2
Source: RefSeq, a predicted model, not a curated record